This 328-nucleotide ribosomal RNA is filed under the name uncultured eukaryote. RNAcentral describes it as "partial 18S ribosomal RNA". It matches the Rfam family "Eukaryotic small subunit ribosomal RNA", at positions 1470 to 1796 of the family's 1831-position model. The record is from RNAcentral.
CCCUUAGAUGUUCUGGGCGGCACGCGCGCUACACUGAAGCGUUCAACGAGUAUUCACCUUGCCCGGGAGGGUUGGGUAAUCUUUUGAAAACGCUUCGUGAUGGGGAUAGAUUAUUGCAAUUAUUAAUCUUCAACGAGGAAUUCCUAGUAAGCGCGAGUCAUCAGCUCGCGUUGAUUACGUCCCUGCCCUUUGUACACACCGCCCGUCGCUCCUACCGAUUGAGUGUGUUGGUGAGGAGUUCGGAUUGGCAGCAGGUGGUGGUUCGCCACCGCCUAUUGCUGAGAAGUUCUCCAAACCGCCCCACUUAGAGGAAGGAGAAGUCGUAACA